UACGUAGGGGGCGAGCGUUGUCCGGAGUUACUGGGCGUAAAGCGCACGCAGGCGGUCUGUUAAGUUUGGAGUGACAGUUGGUGGCUCAACCACCAAAGUGCUUUGAAAACUGAAAGACUUGAGGGCUUCAGAGGGACACGGAAUUCCGGGUGGAGUGGUGAAAUGCGUAGAGAUCCGGAGGAACACCAAAGGCGAAGGCAGUGUCCUGGGGAGUACCUGACGCUCAGGUGCGAAAGCCAGGGGAGCGAACGGG
Molecule: ribosomal RNA, 253 nt
Filed under: uncultured bacterium
Lineage: Bacteria
Description: partial 16S ribosomal RNA
Rfam family: Bacterial small subunit ribosomal RNA
Source: RNAcentral